GCAGGUACCCCGGCAGCGCCCCGUACUCCUCCCCACACGCCGCCGCCGCUAACCUCUCCACCUCAUCCGCCGUCGAGGCCAUCGAUCGCCGACGCAACCCAACGGUUCACCUGGCUCUCUCAUCGAGGCUUCAAAUCCGAGGUAGUGGAACUCAUCCUCGCCGCUUUCGAUUUCUGGAGCAUCCCCAGCCCCGCGUCCGCGGCGCCGAAGGCUCGCCGGAGCUCCGCCGCCGCGAUCCAACCCUUUUUUUUUUACUUUACCCCGAUUAUUAAUCGCGAUCCGAUUAUUAACAAUUUGCCCCCUGUAUCUUUACAUAUCACCCCUCCUGCCGGUCGCUUGUUCUCCUCGUCUUCCCGCCGCCCGUCCUUUCGCCGGCGGCCGGGCCUCAUCCCCAAUCUGAGCGGCGCCGCUUUUCCAGAGUCUCCGUCGAGGACCCCGUCGGGAGGAGGCGUCACCAGACCCGGCCUUCGCGAAGCGCGCGGCGACGGCAAUUUCGAUAAAAUGCCAGCACACGAAAACCGCCAGGUUGAGCGCGCUCAUCACCGCGAGGAGCCAGAAGAAGCGGUCGAGAUGGCCAUCGUUGAGGUCAUCGGGUAUCCACCCCGGCCCGCCGCCCCUCGUCGUGAGCCACUCCACCAUGGUCACCACGAGUGAACUGACGUAGCUCCCGAGCGCCACCGUGAGCAGCGCCAGCGCCGAGCACAGGCUGCGCAUCGACGGCGGCGCCUCGUUGUAGAAGAACUCCGUCUGCCCGACGCACGCGAACACGACGCUGGCGCCCACCAGGAAGUACUGGGGCACCUGCCACAGGAUACUCAUCGACGACCGGCCCUCGCCGUGCGCGCUCGCCAGGCGUCGCGUCUCGACCACCGCCGCGGUCACCAUCACCAGGACGGACAGGAGCAGCCCGGCGCCGAGGCGCUGCAGCUCCGAGAUGCCCCGGGCAUUGGCGGUGAGCCGCCUGGCCACCGGGACGAGGACCCGAUCGUAGACGGGCACCCAGAUGAGGACGCUGACGGCGUCGAACGAUGCCAGGGACGCCGGCGGGAUGGCGAACGCGCCGAGAUGCUUGUUCAUCGUCCUGCCCUGCUCCAGGAACGUGGAGGAGAACUGCGCGAGCACGGCGAAGAACACGAUUCCGGUGGCCCAGAUGGGGAGCAUGCCGAUGAUCACCUUCAGCUCCUCGACUUGCGUCACGGUGCAGAGCCUCCAUGGAUCAGAGUCAGAUGGGUCUUCAGUUGAUGAGAUCACUGCAGCCUUGUCAAGGAAUCUGAACAGCGAAAUUGCCAAGUCACAGUAAAGAUGGGCCCUAUGUGAAAAGUGUUUCAGUGUUCACACAUCGAGUUCAAAGUUCAAACAACUAGUACCUGAGAACAGGCGUGUGCUGCAAUUUAUGGACAUCCGCCAUUGGCGUCUUCUCUGGGAGCUCAUGGAGUAGAGAAUCGUCAUACGGUAAAACUACAUUACAUUUUCGAACAGCUGCAAAUAUAACCUGAAGCACCCUUAUAAUUGGACUCCCCAGGGGCUUUUGCACCCUGUACUUACUGGAGCCCAGCAAGAAGCUUGCAAUGGCCAACGCGAUGAACAGAGUUGGGAGCCAGAGGCCAACUCCCCAACCGUAGUGAUCUUGCACCCACACAACUGCGGUACCCGCGACGAAGCUCCCAAUGUAGGUUGCAAAGAAGAACCAGUUAAAGAAGGAAUCCUUCUUCAACCUCUCGGCUAGGCUGCUGUCAUCGAACUGGUCAGCGCCGAAAGAUGAGACACACGGCUUGAUACCACCGGCUCCUAUGCCCAUCAUGUAGAGGCCAAGGAAGAACACAGCGGGCUGAGAUGAACCACCCUUCAGGAACGAUGCUGAAAUAGACAUUGCAGCCAUCCCCUGGUGUUGAACAAGAACAACACCCAUGAACUAGUUAGUUGCUGUUGUUUCUAGAACAAUGAGCACGUAUUAUUAUAAGUGCCCAAACAAAACAGCAGUAUAAUCAGUUGCUUGAUAGUUUCUUAAA
Long non-coding RNA from Setaria italica (foxtail millet), 2009 nucleotides. RefSeq lists it as uncharacterized. Lineage: Eukaryota; Viridiplantae; Streptophyta; Magnoliopsida; Poales; Poaceae. The record is from RefSeq and is a predicted model, not a curated record. The transcript is spliced from 2 exons.